CUACGGGUGGCACCAGUGGGGAAUAUUGCACAAUGGAGGAAACUCUGAUGCAGCAACGCCGCGUGGAGGAUGACACUUUUCGGAGCGUAAACUCCUUUUAUAUAGGAAGAAGAUGACGGUACUAUAUGAAUAAGCGCCGGCUAACUCCGUGCCAGCAGCCGCGGUAAUACGGAGGGCGCAAGCGUUACUCGGAAUCACUGGGCGUAAAGAGCGUGUAGGCGGAUUAAAAAGUCAGAAGUGAAAUCCUAUAGCUUAACUAUAGAACUGCUUCUGAAACUCUUAAUCUAGAAUAUGGGAGAGGUAGAUGGAAUUUCUGGUGUAGGGGUAAAAUCCGUAGAGAUCAGAAGGAAUACCGAUUGCGAAGGCGAUCUACUAGAACAUUAUUGACGCUGAGGUGCGAAAGCGUGGGGAGCAAACAGGAUUAGAUACCCGAGUAGUC
Molecule: ribosomal RNA, 439 nt
Filed under: uncultured bacterium
Lineage: Bacteria
Description: partial 16S ribosomal RNA
Rfam family: Bacterial small subunit ribosomal RNA
Source: RNAcentral